CCUACGGGAGGCAGCAGUGAGGAAUAUUGGUCAAUGGGCGCGAGCCUGAACCAGCCAAGUAGCGUGAGGGAGGACGGCCCUACGGGUUGUAAACCUCUUUUGCAGGGGAGUAACGGGCGUCACGUGUGGCGCCACUGAGAGUACCUGGAGAAAAAGCAUCGGCAAACUCGGUGCCAGCAGCCGCGGUAUUACGGAGGAUGCGAGCGUUAUCCGGAUUAAUUGGGUUAAAAGGGUGCGCGGGCGGAAGAUCAAGUCAGCGGUAAAAUUUAGGGGCUCAACCUCUUCGAGCCGUUGAAACUGGUUUUCUUGAGUGAGUGAGAAGUGUGCGGAAUGCGUGGUGUAGCGGUGAAAUGCAUAGAUAUCACGCAGAACUCCGAUUGCGAAGGCAGCAUACCGGCGCUCAACUGACGCUCAUGCACGAAAGUGUGGGUAUCGAACAGGAUUAGAUACCCUAGUAGUC
Molecule: ribosomal RNA, 460 nt
Filed under: uncultured bacterium
Lineage: Bacteria
Description: partial 16S ribosomal RNA
Rfam family: Bacterial small subunit ribosomal RNA
Source: RNAcentral